Molecule: transfer RNA, 100 nt
Filed under: Daldinia vernicosa
Lineage: Eukaryota; Fungi; Ascomycota; Sordariomycetes; Xylariales; Hypoxylaceae
Description: tRNA-Ser
Rfam family: tRNA
About the family: Transfer RNA (tRNA) molecules are approximately 80 nucleotides in length. Their secondary structure includes four short double-helical elements and three loops (D, anti-codon, and T loops).
Source: RNAcentral
GGCACUUUGGCGGAGUGGUUAACGCGAUGCCCUGCUAUUGAGAUCAAUUGAUAGGAAGGCAUUCCCUUCGGGGGCGUGUGUUCGAAUCACACAGGUGUCG